RNAcentral lists this ribosomal RNA (253 nucleotides) under uncultured bacterium. Its description in RNAcentral is "partial 16S ribosomal RNA". It matches the Rfam family "Bacterial small subunit ribosomal RNA", at positions 524 to 776 of the family's 1533-position model. The record is from RNAcentral.
UACGUAGGGGGCAAGCGUUGUCCGGAUUUAUUGGGCGUAAAGAGCGUGUAGGCGGCCACACAGGUCUGCUGUGAAAACUCGAGGCUCAACCUCGAGCUGUCGGUGGAAACCGUGUGGCUAGAGUCCGGAAGAGGAGAGUGGAAUUCCCGGUGUAGCGGUGAGAUGCGCAGAUAUCGGGAAGAACACCCGUGGCGAAGGCGGCUCUCUGGGACGGUACUGACGCUGAGACGCGAAAGCGUGGGGAGCGAACAGG